AAACUCCACAAUGCGCGAAAGCGUGAUGGGGGAACUCCAAGUGUCUCUCAAAAGAGAGACUUUUGUGGUAUUUAAAAAUUACUACGAAUAAGGACUGGUCAAGACUAGUGCCAGCCUCCGCGGUAAAACUAGCAGUUCGAGUGGUGGCCACGAUUAUUGGGCUUAAAGCGUCCGUAGCCGGUCUAGUAAGUUCUCUGUGAAAUCCUUGGGCUUAACUCAAGGGCUUGCAGAGAAUACUGUUAGGCUAGGAGUUGGGAGAAGUUGAGGGAACUACUAGGGUAGCGGCGAAA
This 290-nucleotide ribosomal RNA is filed under the name uncultured archaeon. RNAcentral's name for it is "partial 16S ribosomal RNA". It matches the Rfam family "Archaeal small subunit ribosomal RNA", at positions 345 to 637 of the family's 1478-position model. The record is from RNAcentral.